GUUCUUGUAGCUUACACAAAGCAUGGCACUGAAGAUGCCAAGACGGCUGCCACACGCACCCAAGAACA
This 68-nucleotide transfer RNA is filed under the name Yuhina nigrimenta. Its description in RNAcentral is "tRNA-Phe". The record is from RNAcentral. Lineage: Eukaryota; Metazoa; Chordata; Aves; Passeriformes; Timaliidae.